This 1191-nucleotide long non-coding RNA is filed under the name Gossypium barbadense (sea-island cotton). RNAcentral's name for it is "long non-coding RNA (GBAR_LNC000994)". The record is from RNAcentral. Lineage: Eukaryota; Viridiplantae; Streptophyta; Magnoliopsida; Malvales; Malvaceae.
AAAAAUGUGGAUUUUGCAUACCCUUCAAGACCCGAUGUAAAGAUUCUUAACAAUGUUUCCUUAUGUGUUCCUUCUGGAAAAACCAUAGCUUUGGUUGGAAGUAGCGGUUCGGGGAAAAGCACCGUGGUGUCACUUAUUGAGAGAUUUUACGAUCCUACUUCAGGUAAACUAUGAGAUUAAAAUGAGGGUGCCAUCGUGUUUUUAAAGUGUCGGUUAAUACGAUGUGCUUUUGUAGGGGAAGUGAUGCUAGAUGGACAUGACAUAAAGACAUUAAAGCUAAGAUGGUUAAGGUCACAAAUAGGACUUGUAAGCCAAGAGCCUGCACUUUUUGCUACCACCAUUAAAGAAAACAUCCUCUUAGGGAGGCCCGAUGCGAACGAUAUCGAGAUUGAAGAAGCUGCGAGGGUGGCUAAUGCUCAUUCAUUCAUUGUGAAGCUACCUGAUGGUUUCGACACUCAGGUUCAGUUCAUUUGAUGUCGGUUUAAUAAUUGCUUUCCGUUUCACCUAAUAUUUGGAUAAUGGCAGGUUGGGGAGAGAGGACUUCAACUCUCAGGUGGACAGAAGCAAAGAAUCGCUAUAGCAAGGGCAAUGUUGAAGAAUCCGGCAAUCUUGUUAUUGGAUGAAGCUACUAGUGCACUAGAUUCUGAGUCCGAAAAGCUGGUGCAAGAGGCCCUUGAUCGGUUUAUGAUUGGGAGGACUACUCUCGUAAUUGCUCAUCGGCUUUCAACCAUUCGGAAGGCUGAUCUUGUAGCUGUACUCCAGGAUGGAAGUGUUUCGGAAAUCGGUACGCAUGAUGAACUUAUGGCCAAAGGAGAAAACGGUGCCUAUGCUAAACUCAUUCGGAUGCAAGAGGCAGCACACGAAACCGCCCUUAAUAAUGCUAGAAAAAGUAGUGCAAGGUAGCUUCCGGUCUCAUGUGUUAAUGCAGUCUUGCUUGUUUUAGAAUGUUAUCGGUUGUUAUGAUUCUUCUGCAGGCCAUCUAGUGCUCGGAACUCAGUAAGCUCACCAAUCAUUGCCCGGAAUUCAUCAUAUGGCCGCUCACCAUAUUCACGCAGGCUGUCUGACUUCUCUACUUCGGAUUUUAGCCUUUCCCUUGAGGGAUACCACCCUAAUUACCGAAUGGAAAAGCUUGAUUUCAAGGAGCAAGCGGGUUCCUUCUGGCGUCUUGUGAAAAUGAAUUCACCCGAAUGG